Molecule: ribosomal RNA, 263 nt
Filed under: uncultured Sphingomonadales bacterium
Lineage: Bacteria; Pseudomonadati; Pseudomonadota; Alphaproteobacteria; Sphingomonadales
Description: partial 16S ribosomal RNA
Rfam family: Bacterial small subunit ribosomal RNA
Source: RNAcentral
UACGGAGGGAGCUAGCGUUGUUCGGAAUUACUGGGCGUAAAGCGCACGUAGGCGGCUUUGUAAGUUAGAGGUGAUAGCCUGGAGCUCAACUCCAGAAUUGCCUUUAAGACUGCAUCGCUUGAAUCCAGGAGAGGUGAGUGGAAUUCCGAGUGUAGAGGUGAAAUUCGUAGAUAUUCGGAAGAACGCCAGUGGCGAAGGCGUCUCACUGGACUGGUAUUGACGCUGAGGUGCGAAAGCGUGGGGAGCAAACAGGAUUAGAUACC